This 779-nucleotide ribosomal RNA is filed under the name uncultured Neocallimastigales. RNAcentral describes it as "partial large subunit ribosomal RNA". It matches the Rfam family "Eukaryotic large subunit ribosomal RNA", at positions 26 to 645 of the family's 3401-position model. Lineage: Eukaryota; Fungi; Neocallimastigomycota; Neocallimastigomycetes; Neocallimastigales. The record is from RNAcentral.
CGCAUCUGUGCAUGCAGCAUAUCAAUAAGCGGAGGAAAAGAAACUAACAAGGAUUCCCCUAGUAACGGCGAGUGAAGCGGGAAGAGCUCAAAUUUGAAAUCUUGAAAGGGUUCACCUUUCACGAAUUGUAGUUUAAAGAAGUGUUUUCUGUUACGAGUUUGGUAAUAAGUUCUUUGGAAUAGGACAUCAUAGAGGGUGAGAAUCCCGUAUAUUGACCUUGGACUUGUCAGCUUUGUGAUACACUUUCAAAGAGUCGGAUUGUUUGGGAAUGCAGUCCAAAAUGGGAUGGUAAAUUUCUAUCUAAGGCUAAAUAUUGGCGAGAGACCGAUAGCGAACAAGUACCGUGAGGGAAAGAUGAAAAGAACUUUGAAAAGAGAGUUAAAUAGUACGUGAAAUUGUCAAAAGGGAAGCGUUUAACACCAGUGUUGUUUUCUGAAAAUCAACCUCUGUUAGCUUUAUGCAUGUUUGUUUAGACCUAAUCAGCUAUCUUGCAUGUUCUAUUGUUUGCAGUGGCGCACUUUUCAGUUUACAGGUCAACAUCAGUUUUUUUUACCGUAAAAAAGUUAAAGAAAGGUAGCUCAUGGCUCCGGUCGUGAGUGUUAUAGUCUUUUUCCUAUGCGGUAGGAGAGACUGAGGUCUGCAGUGUAGGCUAUUUGGCUAGAUACUCAGGUGCUAUGUGAUACCAUUUCAUAAACAACUUGUUGAUUAUGUUUUGUCUAUUGCAUACUCGCUUGUACUAUCAUACCUACGCUUAGGAUGUUGAAGUCAUCGUAUCGCGC